RNAcentral lists this ribosomal RNA (93 nucleotides) under Shewanella sp. DNRA4. The record is from RNAcentral. Lineage: Bacteria; Pseudomonadati; Pseudomonadota; Gammaproteobacteria; Alteromonadales; Shewanellaceae.
CUUGGUGACAAUAGCAUUGUGGUCCCACCUGAUCCCAUCCCGAACUCAGAAGUGAAACGCAAUCGCGCCGAUGGUAGUGUGGGGUCUCCCCAU